CACUGACGAGUUUGAUCAUGGCUCAGAUUGAACGUUGGCGGCAGGCCUAAUACAUGCAAGUCGAACGGCAGCACAGAGAGCUUGCUCUUGGGUGGCGAGUGGCGGACGGGUGAGUAACGCGUAGGAAUCUACCCAGUAGCGGGGGAUAGCCCGGGGAAACUCGGAUUAAUACCCGCAUACGCCCCACGGGGGAAAGGCCGGGAUCUUCGGACCGGUCACUAUUGGAGGAGCCUGCGUUGGAUUAGCUUGUUGGUGGGGUAAAGGCCUACCAAGGCUACGAUCCAUAGCUGGUCUGAGAGGACGAUCAGCCACACUGGAACUGAGACACGGUCCAGACUCCUACGGGAGGCAGCAGUAGGGAAUAUUGUGCAAUGGGCGAAAGCCUGACACAGCCCAUGCCGCGUGUGUGAAGAAGGCCCUAGGGUUGUAAAGCACUUUCAGUAGGGAGGAAUUAGUAGGGUUAAUAACCUUAUGAAAUGACGUUACCUACAGAAGAAGUACCGGCUAACUCCGUG
This 515-nucleotide ribosomal RNA is filed under the name uncultured bacterium. Its description in RNAcentral is "bacterial SSU rRNA". It matches the Rfam family "Bacterial small subunit ribosomal RNA", at positions 1 to 507 of the family's 1533-position model. The record is from RNAcentral.